Non-coding RNA from Schizosaccharomyces pombe (fission yeast), 1503 nucleotides. The record is from the annotation of a GenBank genome assembly. NCBI's taxonomy places the organism in Eukaryota, Fungi, Ascomycota, Schizosaccharomycetes, Schizosaccharomycetales, Schizosaccharomycetaceae.
UUAGCGGAUACCCUCACUACUUUUAUAAAGUACGAAAAAUUAGCGUUCCGCCCUCGUGUAAAUACCGUACCCGCAACCGAUUAGUAUGACGAACUGCUGUAAAUCCUUACCCGUCUGGUGGGAUCAUUAAUCAUACGGGAGUGAAGCUACGAUCGUUGGACCCGUAAUCUUCGCAAUCGCUAAUACCUGAAAUUGCCCCGUCAAUAUUCUUUUACAAUCUAAAUAAAUCGAUACUGACGCAAUGAGCGCACUUACAACCCUAAUAUAUAUGCAGUAGCUUGCAAUUGAAAUGUAGCGUGUAUUACAAUACUCUUGUCUAUGCAAUAUACAAUCAACGUCUUAUAAUAAACAAAUGGAAUCCUUAUCAUUUUCAAUAAAUCAUACUUCCAUUGUUCAAUAAUAAAUACAAAUUUCUUGCAUUUAAUGGUUAAAAGUUAAUAGCAAUGAGGGCUUCCGCAAGUUGAAAUGGAAAUGAAGGCAUUAAUUCUUGGGAUAACUGAAUUGAGAAGCCUUACUUAAUGAGUUAAAAAAUAUAAUAACAAUAAGUAACAAAAAUUCCUUCCAUUCAUCGGCAUCAUUAUAUGCAUCAUUUUAGCAUAAAAAAGUUAAUGAUUGUGUGUUGCAUCCCAUGUUGGUCGAGUUUACAGCAAUAAUUAACAAGACAUAAUUACUAGUAGCUCGAUUCCAGAAACAUUCAGAUAAAACUGUUAUUCUACUAGAAUACUAGAUAAAAAGGUAGUUGAAUUUUCAAGGCUUAUUGUUUUGUCAACCUUUAGUCUAGGAAAGCUCUUACAAGAAAGAUGUUGACUAUUCUCAGUUCAAUGUAAUGCGCAAAUAGUUACAUGGACUUGAAUUGGUUUGUUUAGUUAAUACGUUGAUGGUUUAUAGUUGAACAAACAAUACGAGGGAUCGAACUUUUUCGCAUAUGUCAUACUCAUAGCAUAAACAUAUAUAUGUCCUUAACAAUCAGAAAUUAACAGCUAACACCAAAAAAGUGAUUUUCAACAAUAUUCUUUCAAAUGUUAAACUCUUUUUUUAUUAUUCGCUACCAGUUGAAAGGAACUCAAGAUCUGCAUUUUUGUUGGAAAAAAUGCUUAAUUUCAACCUCAGGAAGUAUUUGGUGAAUAGGUGAAAAUAAAGAAGAAUCUUUAUUUCAUACAAUUGCAAAAAGUUCCUAAAUUUAUUCCUAUCUUCAAUACGAGCGCUACAGUCACUAAACCUACUAUAUAUCCUUAAUAGUUAUGCCUCAAUAUUCUAAGGUAGAUAUUGUUUAAAGUACUUUAUUAAGGCACUGCGUGAUUUGUACAGUUAAUUAAUUUUUGAACAAUGAUUACACUUAGAGUUUAGGUAUGACGAAAGGAGCUUACGCCGUCUCAAGUAUAUAAACAAAAUGCCUUCUUGUGCCGGCACAUUUCUAGUGCUUGAUAGCCAAAGAAUUAAAUAAAAUGCCAGUUAGUGUAUCAGAUUCUUUUGUAUUUCGUAAUAUCUUUGGAGAUGCUGAAA